AUUUCUUUAGUAUAAUAGUACAAGUGCCCUCCAAGCAUUAAGCCCCAUUAAGGGAAGAAAUA
RNAcentral lists this transfer RNA (62 nucleotides) under Pantherophis guttatus guttatus. RNAcentral's name for it is "transfer RNA-Gly". The record is from RNAcentral. Lineage: Eukaryota; Metazoa; Chordata; Lepidosauria; Squamata; Colubridae.